AUUGAACGCUGGUGGCAGGCUUAACACAUGCAAGUCGAACGGUAACAGGAAUUAGCUUGCUAAUUUGCUGACGAGUGACGGACGGGUGAGUCAUGAGUGGGAAUCUGGCUUAUGGAGGGGGAUAACUACGGGCAACUGUAGCUACUACCGCGGAAAAUCUUCGGAAUAAAGGGGGGGACUUUCGAGCCACCUGCCAUAAGAGGAGCCCAAGUGGGAUUAGGGAGUUGGUGAGGUAAAGGCUGACAAAGCCGACGAUCUCUAGCGGGUCUGAGAGGAUGACCAGCCACCUUGGAACUGCCCCACCGUCCACACUCCUACGGGAGGCCGCAGUCUCGAAUAUUGCACAAUGGGGGGAACCCUGACGCAGCCAUGCCUCUUCUAUGACUGAGGCCUUCGGGUUGUUAAGUACUUUCGGUGACGGGGAAGGUUGAUUGGUUAUUAGCCUAUCAAAUUGACGUUAAUCACUGAAGAAGCACCGGCUAACUCCGUG
Molecule: ribosomal RNA, 490 nt
Filed under: uncultured bacterium
Lineage: Bacteria
Description: partial 16S ribosomal RNA
Rfam family: Bacterial small subunit ribosomal RNA
Source: RNAcentral